GGGGGCAUAGCUCAGUGGUAGAGUGCAUGCUUAGCAUGCAUGAAGUCUUGGGUUCAAUCCUCAGUACUUCCU
This 72-nucleotide transfer RNA is filed under the name Camelus bactrianus (Bactrian camel). It matches the Rfam family "tRNA". From Rfam's summary of the family: Transfer RNA (tRNA) molecules are approximately 80 nucleotides in length. Their secondary structure includes four short double-helical elements and three loops (D, anti-codon, and T loops). RNAcentral also lists the same sequence under 1 other name. The record is from Rfam by way of RNAcentral. Lineage: Eukaryota; Metazoa; Chordata; Mammalia; Artiodactyla; Camelidae.